This 1355-nucleotide unclassified non-coding RNA is filed under the name Hevea brasiliensis (rubber tree). The record is from RNAcentral. Lineage: Eukaryota; Viridiplantae; Streptophyta; Magnoliopsida; Malpighiales; Euphorbiaceae.
UGAAGUCGCGCGAGGGAAUCAUGUGUUUCGUAAGGUGUCAAAGGAAGCAUCGGGCAUGGUCUAUUCCUUGGCUAAUCGGUUCUCCAAACCAAACGCAUCCUUUGUCUCUCUUUAUAUAAAUUCCUACAUGCGCUCGCACUUGGAACGGAGCACAUUAAAUUCCAUAAAAAAAAGUUCUAUUUAUUUCGCAGCGUACAUAAAUACAUACAAAAUCGCCGUGUUGUUAUUGUCAGAUUUUCCCGCAUCUUCCGGCGACUUUUUCCGGUUCAGGAGCCCUAUCCACGGAAGAUAAAAAGAGGGACGUCCAGGACAAUAGAUACAAAAAAUCAGGUGGCAAAGAGAGCCUUUGGUUAGACCUAUUCACAAACGAUUAUGUUUUAGUUGUGGUUCUCAAUAAACUACCAUGGCAAUAAAAUCCUACCAAGAUCAGGCAGAGCUGCUCCUGAAGGAAUAUUUGCUAGCUGGUUCUUCUAUCCUAUACACUUCUGUUAUUGUUGGCAUUUGUGCUUGCAAGAUGGUUUAUGAUCUUACGCAAUUGUUCAGUCUUGUUUACUUCAAGAGCUAUUCCAACCUUACAAAAAUGCAACGUAUUGAGUGGAAAAACCGGGCAAUAUCCACAUUUCAUGCCAUUUUCAUCACAGUUAUAUCUUUGUACUUAGUAUUCUGCUCAGAUCUGUACUCUGACUAUCGUCCUGGUCUUAUAAUAUUUCGAAGUUCUUCACUGUCUACAUUUGCGUUAGGGGUUUCUGUUGGUUACUUCAUUGUUGACCUUGGAAUGAUCAUCUGGUUUUAUCCUUUUCUAGGUGGGAUGGAAUACGUGAUUCAUCAUCUUAUUUCCAUGAUUGCUGUGGCAUAUGCUAUGUUGAUUGGGGAGGGGCAGCUUUACAUCUACAUGGUUCUGAUCUCAGAGACAACUACGCCUGGGAUCAAUCUGAGAUGGUAUCUGGACACAGCUGGAAUGAAGAGGUCUAGAGCAUAUCUCAUAAAUGGAGUAGUAAUAUUCUUGGCUUGGCUGGUUGCCAGGAUACUCCUUUUUAUAUACUUCUUUUACCAUGUCUACUUGCACUAUGAUCAGAUCAGGCAAAUACACAACUUUGGGAAACUUUUGGUUCUAACAGUGCCGGUAGUGCUGUCUGUGAUGAAUUUAAUGUGGUUUUGGAAGAUUAUCAAGGGACUGAAAAAGACAUUAACAAAGAGGCAUUAGCAAAGCAGAAACUGAGGAAUAUCUCAACUGGUGUUUACUCUGGUAUUCUCUCUCUAGUGCACAUGCACGUUUGUAAAUGGCCUUUCAUAAUCUUCUAUUGCAUGAAGAUAUUUUGCUUUGGAUUGUAACAUUGAAUAUAAAUUUCAUCAUU